AUUAGUGUAGAGUAGUGGUUUGAGCACUGGACUAUAAUUCCGGAGACUAGGGUUCAAAUCCCCACUUGGCCA
Phrynosoma platyrhinos (Desert horned lizard) is the source of this 72-nucleotide non-coding RNA. NCBI's taxonomy places the organism in Eukaryota, Metazoa, Chordata, Lepidosauria, Squamata, Phrynosomatidae. The record is from the annotation of a GenBank genome assembly.